AUUGAACGCUGGCGGCAUGCUUUACACAUGCAAGUCGAACGGUAACAGGUUAAGCUGACGAGUGGCGAACGGGUGAGUAAUGCAUCGGAACGUGCUCGGUCGUGGGGGAUAACGCAGCGAAAGCUGCGCUAAUACCGCAUACGAUCUGAGGAUGAAAGCGGGGGACCGUAAGGCCUCGCGCGAUCGGAGCGGCCGAUGUCAGAUUAGGUAGUUGGUGGGGUAAAGGCUCACCAAGCCAACGAUCUGUAGCUGGUCUGAGAGGACGACCAGCCACACUGGGACUGGGACACGGCCCAGACUCCUACGGGAGGCAGCAGUGGGGAAUUUUGGACAAUGGGCGAAAGCCUGAUCCAGCAAUGCCGCGUGCAGGAAGAAGGCCUUCGGGUCGUAAACUGCUUUUGUACGGAGCGAAAAGGUCUCCUCUAAUACAGGGGGCUCAUGACGGUACCGUAAGAAUAGGCACCGGCUAACUACGUGCCAGCAGCCGCGGUAA
This 493-nucleotide ribosomal RNA is filed under the name uncultured bacterium. RNAcentral's name for it is "partial 16S ribosomal RNA". It matches the Rfam family "Bacterial small subunit ribosomal RNA", at positions 29 to 523 of the family's 1533-position model. The record is from RNAcentral.